ACACAUUUAAAUGGUGCAGCAUGUUCAAGUCGUUCCCAUUGCUGAAAAUACGUACAUUACGAGUCUUAAAGGAUUACCUGGUAGCAAAAGAAUAAAUAGUAGUUCAGCAACUAAAGCAGCAUAAAACCAGCAGCAAAACAGCAGCAAAAUCAACAGCAAAUCCGUGUUAAAACAACCCGAAAACUUAGAGAGGGAACCCAAAAACGAACUCUAAAGAGGACUUAUACUUUUUUAAAAGUUUGCACUCUAAGAUUCACUCCCAAAGCUCACCAUUUCAGCUUACUUUUCAUGUGUUCAACUGCUGAAUUUUUUUUGUUUUUGUGACAAAGCAAUUAUAAAAAAUUCCUCCUGGAAGUGUGAUGGAGUCCCCCCAAAGUGAGGAAAUGGCAGCCCUUAAAUAGGUAAAUUAGGACAGAUUUUGGUUCACCAAAUGUCUGUCCGACAAAAACUGACAUUGUGUGCUAAACACUGUUCAAAAUCUGUCCAAAGGUCAAAGGAAAUCUACUAUGUCAGAAACAAAGAAAAAAAAAUAUCAUUUCAGCCACCUUAACUAGUAAAAGUAAGCUACUAGCACCCUAUUUUGUGAUAAAAUAACAUAAACUUCAGAUUUUAACAAUAUCAAUAUCACCCUGUUGAUUCAAACUAAACCAAGUAUUAAAACAUGUAAUUAAACUUCACAUAUGUAUUAUGAACCAAUCGUAAGCAAACAAAAAUUAAUUAUUAAAGCCAAACGAAAUGGACGCUAUCGCUGGAGCGAUUUAAUAAAACCAACUAGACAAACAUAAUCAAAAAUGGAUUAAAUGAAGAAACAAGAUAGAAACUAACUUUAACUAUUAAAAAAAUCAAAAAAAUAAUAAUGGGGCAGGAUUACGAUUUUACCAUAUACUCUCAAGCAUUUCCUCACUACCUCACUUUAAUCAACACAAAGUUAUUUUACUACUUCAACAAGUGCAAAAACAGAAAAUUUAACAUUCCAAAACUUCAAAAACUAAUGCUAAAAUAAUUAAUAAUAAAAAAUAAAAUCUGAAAAAUAAAAAUAAAAAUCAGCCAUGAAAAAGAAUAGGAUUUUACCAUUUUACAAUUCAAGUGGCCGAAAAAAUGGUGGUAUGCCAAAAGAAUGUGUUCGGGGAGGUCGCCGAAAUUUGGCCGGAUUUUGGUCACCGAAUUUUCAGGGUGAAAUUGGCAUCAAUAGCUAGGUCUUGAGGAGCUCUAUCCAUUGAUGUAGGUAUUGUGGGUGGUAGUGGUUGGAGCUUCAAUAAUUUGGGCAAAAAAGUGACGGGAAAGUUUC
Molecule: long non-coding RNA, 1288 nt
Filed under: Nicotiana tabacum (common tobacco)
Lineage: Eukaryota; Viridiplantae; Streptophyta; Magnoliopsida; Solanales; Solanaceae
Description: long non-coding RNA (NTAB_LNC005114)
Source: RNAcentral